UGGGGAAUAUUGCACAAUGGGCGCAAGCCUGAUGCAGCCAUGCCGCGUGUGUGAAGAAGGCCUUCGGGUUGUAAAGCACUUUCAGCGGGGAGGAAGGCGUUAAGGUUAAUAACCUUGGCGAUUGACGUUACCCGCAGAAGAAGCACCGGCUAACUCCGUGCCAGCAGCCGCAGUAAUACGGAGGGUGCAAGCGUUAAUCGGAAUUACUGGGCGUAAAGCGCACGCAGGCGGUCUGUCAAGUCGGAUGUGAAAUCCCCGGGCUCAACCUGGGAACUGCAUUCGAAACUGGUAGGCUAGAGUCUUGGAGAGGGGGGUAGAAUUCCAGGGGUAGCGGUGAAAUGCGUAGAGAACUGGAAGAAUACCGGUGGCGAAGGCGGCCCCCUGGACAAAGAAUGACGCUCAGGUGCGAAAGCGUGGGGAGCAAACAGG
RNAcentral lists this ribosomal RNA (429 nucleotides) under Chloroflexota bacterium. RNAcentral's name for it is "Chloroflexi bacterium partial 16S ribosomal RNA". It matches the Rfam family "Bacterial small subunit ribosomal RNA", at positions 355 to 776 of the family's 1533-position model. The record is from RNAcentral. Lineage: Bacteria; Bacillati; Chloroflexota.